UGAGUAACCUGCCCUUAACUCUGGGAUAAGCCUGGGAAACUGGGUCUAAUACCGGAUAUGACUCCUCAUCGCAUGGUGGGGGGUGGAAAGCUUUAUUGUGGUUUGGAUGGACUCGCGGCCUAUCAGCUUGUUGGUGAGGUAAUGGCUCACCGAGGCGACGACGGGUAGCCGGCCUGAGAGGGUGAUCGGCCACACGUGGGACUGAGACACGGCCCAGACCUCCGUACGGGNGCAG
This 235-nucleotide ribosomal RNA is filed under the name uncultured bacterium. Its description in RNAcentral is "partial 16S ribosomal RNA". It matches the Rfam family "Bacterial small subunit ribosomal RNA", at positions 118 to 347 of the family's 1533-position model. The record is from RNAcentral.